RNAcentral lists this long non-coding RNA (258 nucleotides) under Canis lupus familiaris (dog). RNAcentral's name for it is "lncRNA (ENSCAFG00000036487.3)". The record is from RNAcentral. Lineage: Eukaryota; Metazoa; Chordata; Mammalia; Carnivora; Canidae.
AUAUGAAAUCAGUUAUGUAAAUUGUGAAAUAUAAUCCUGAUCCUGUCUGUUCAACUACUACAGAUAUCUAAAAUUACACUUUUGGCAAUGUUGGAUAACCACACUGAUGGAAUUCAAAGAAGCUGGGAAUUUCCUGAAGAAAAGUAGCUUCAUCCGGUUGUAAUAACUGAGUGACUACAUCAAAAUGAGGAACCUGAACAUGGAGAGAGAGGCAUACCAGGCUCAAGACAAUUGUCCAGCCCAGUCCUAGCUACUGUC